AUCGAGAGGUUGCUAUGGAGACAGAAACAUUGCCCUUGUUGGAGGAUUGUAUCUUCGACUGGGAAACCAGAGAGAAAUUAAUUCUGCUGCAGAAUGCACUUGAUGAAAAGCAGUACCACAAUCAACUGGAUAAAAUCAGUGACUGGUGCUUGGAACAGAGUUUGUCUAUCUCUAAUUUUAGACAUUUUGAGAAAAAACAACAACUAAUGGACAUCCUCAAAAAAAAUUAAAUUUUCUACCGAGUCCAGUCAGAAUUUGUUCAGUUCAGGAAUGGAUUGAACAAAGUGGGAAGACUGCUCGAUGCAGUCCAACUGGCCCCAAAGUCUUUUCUUCAACUCUUCACCCAGAACAGCAAAGCUCUACGGUUCAGAGACAUCAGGGAGCUUUACAAGGUGAACUGGAGUCCUGAUGGAUCCAACAAUAAGAGGCAGGAGGAACAGGCUUCGUAUUGUCUAGAAGCUUUUCUUGCCUAUUCAGAGGGGGGAUCCACAGGGAUUUCAUUAGACGAGGUGUUAUCCUUUUGGACUGGAGCAGCAAGCAUUCCUCCACUAGGAUUUGAAAAAUCUCUGGAAGUGUCCUUUGGAAGCACUAAACAAUUUCCAACAGCCCACACCUGUGCCCUUAUAUUAACAAUAUGGCGUGGUUUCGAUGAUCCUGACGAGUUUCAGGAUACAAUUACAAAAGCAAUAAAAUGGGCAGGAGGUUUUAAUCUUGUUUGACAAUCAAAACGUUUUCAUGACAGCAAAGUUUCUUGGAAUUUAAAAUUGUGUUCAAGGCUUUCAUUGCAUGUUGUGCCAAUUUUUUUAGAUGUAUAGCAGCUAACCUCAAGUGAAGAACAUUUAUUUAGGCACCUGCCGGUGAAACUGGUGAUCAAUGUAUUUGUCUCCGUCGUCUGUCUGUUUGUCCGGAAGUUGGCUUCCUGUCAAAACUCGAGUGAGAAGUGAUGAAUGAUACAAAGUGGGAUUGAAUCUGUGGUCAAAAUGUCAACUAUGAGAUCACUGUUACUGAAUAGACUUACUACUUAAUAGAUAUGUAUGGUCAAAUUGAUAACUUCAA
Long non-coding RNA from Pecten maximus, 1056 nucleotides. RefSeq lists it as uncharacterized. The record is from RefSeq and is a predicted model, not a curated record. Lineage: Eukaryota; Metazoa; Mollusca; Bivalvia; Pectinida; Pectinidae. The transcript has 4 exons.